This 24-nucleotide ribosomal RNA is filed under the name Elytraria imbricata. Its description in RNAcentral is "partial 18S ribosomal RNA". Lineage: Eukaryota; Viridiplantae; Streptophyta; Magnoliopsida; Lamiales; Acanthaceae. The record is from RNAcentral.
AUGUGNGGAUGAAGAAGGAUCUUU